GCUUAGCCAUUUCAUCGAGAAGAAGGAGACGAGAAUCGACUGCGAGUCUAGGAUAUCACUUAUCAGUCUGCGAUUCUAGACGAGAAUCGACUGCUUAGGAUAUCAGUCUACGUCUCUACGAGUUACGACUUACGAGUUACGAUCAGUCGACAUUCGAGCUCGAGUCUCAUCUCAUCUUCACCGGUUAACUUCACUACUUUUGUAAGUUUUGUAAGUCUCGUCUCAUUCUCAUGAUCUCAUCCCAGUACUCGACUACUCUCUGAGGUUUUAUUUGAGUUUUUACAUUUUUAAGUUUUGAACUUUUUGAGUUCAGAGUUCGCAUAAAUUUUUUAAUUUCUGAUUUUCUGCAUCAAACUAAUUUAGGGUUAUAGGAGGCGAUUUCCAGCUCGAUUUGAUUCCUCACUCCUCAAUUUCAGAGGUUUGUUGUUUCGCUUUCUUUUGGUUGUACUGCUGAUUGAAUGAACUGUUGUUUCGAGC
Molecule: long non-coding RNA, 477 nt
Filed under: Nicotiana tabacum (common tobacco)
Lineage: Eukaryota; Viridiplantae; Streptophyta; Magnoliopsida; Solanales; Solanaceae
Description: long non-coding RNA (NTAB_LNC014788)
Source: RNAcentral